This is a long non-coding RNA of Trichomycterus rosablanca, 849 nucleotides long. RefSeq lists it as uncharacterized. Lineage: Eukaryota; Metazoa; Chordata; Actinopteri; Siluriformes; Trichomycteridae. The transcript has 3 exons. The record is from RefSeq and is a predicted model, not a curated record.
GCUACCUGAGUCAAUCACUCAGCUCUCAUGAUCAGGAACGCGGUGAAAAUGCCAAAAAGUAAACUUUAGAGGCAGCGAUGAAUGGACCUAAAUAUGAAAAGACACAACAUUUACCGUCGCUCUUUCGCGGGAUUGGUGCGGCCGGAGAGAAGGGGGCUAUUCUCCCAGGAUUGGCCAUGUGUGUCAGGACAAUGGCUGGAAGCUCACACCGGGUCCGGAGCGUCACACCUGCUGGGAGAGGGAGAAAAAAAAUAUAUAUAUGACACACUUCGUUCUGGCCGGCUGUCCAGCUGUCAUUUCACUGUCUGCAAAACAAAGGCGGGAGGAGGAGGAAUAGAAAUUGCUCGGUCUGAGGUGAGCGAGAAGGAAAUAUUUCCGGCGGAGAAAUAUUCUGGAGGGGAGGACAAUAACCUUUUGUACGCUCUGUGCCAGUACACAGACAAAGGCGGCGACACAAACCUGCAUUUACUCUGGUGGAAAAACACCAAAAAAAUACAUUUCGAGAUGAGUUAUGUGGUUUUUCACAAUGAUCUUUGACCCUUUUAUGGUCUCACCAAGAAGUAAGUAACGCAUCCAAUUUGUCUUCCGCCGCCAACAGACUCCAGAUUUUGCAUCCGAGGAGAGCACGUCGUUGCCCACGACUUCUUUAUACGCGUACAGCCCUCCUCUUCUCGUCCGUGCUUCCUGCACGGGUGUCUCUUCUGCCAAUCAGCGUCUUUACACAGCGCAUGAUAAUUUUGUAAUAAUAUGUAAACGCUACAUUGUGGUUGUUUAAUUUUUGUCCUGUCUGUCACAUGUACUGCAAAACCUUAAUAAAAAGAAUGUUCAAAAAAAAAAAAAUAAUAAUAA